Molecule: ribosomal RNA, 1369 nt
Filed under: uncultured bacterium
Lineage: Bacteria
Description: bacterial SSU rRNA
Rfam family: Bacterial small subunit ribosomal RNA
Source: RNAcentral
GACGAACGCUGGCGGCGUGCCUAAUACAUGCAAGUAGAACGCUGAAGAGAGGAGCUUGCUCUUCUUGGAUGAGUUGCGAACGGGUGAGUAACGCGUAGGUAACCUGCCUUGUAGCGGGGGAUAACUAUUGGAAACGAUAGCUAAUACCGCAUAACAAUGGAUGACACAUGUCAUUUAUUUGAAAGGGGCAAUUGCUCCACUACAAGAUGGACCUGCGUUGUAUUAGCUAGUAGGUGAGGUAACGGCUCACCUAGGCGACGAUACAUAGCCGACCUGAGAGGGUGAUCGGCCACACUGGGACUGAGACACGGCCCAGACUCCUACGGGAGGCAGCAGUAGGGAAUCUUCGGCAAUGGGGGCAACCCUGACCGAGCAACGCCGCGUGAGUGAAGAAGGUUUUCGGAUCGUAAAGCUCUGUUGUAAGUCAAGAACGAGUGUGAGAGUGGAAAGUUCACACUGUGACGGUAGCUUACCAGAAAGGGACGGCUAACUACGUGCCAGCAGCCGCGGUAAUACGUAGGUCCCGAGCGUUGUCCGGAUUUAUUGGGCGUAAAGCGAGCGCAGGCGGUUUGAUAAGUCUGAAGUUAAAGGCUGUGGCUCAACCAUAGUUCGCUUUGGAAACUGUCAAACUUGAGUGCAGAAGGGGAGAGUGGAAUUCCAUGUGUAGCGGUGAAAUGCGUAGAUAUAUGGAGGAACACCGGUGGCGAAAGCGGCUCUCUGGUCUGUAACUGACGCUGAGGCUCGAAAGCGUGGGGAGCGAACAGGAUUAGAUACCCUGGUAGUCCACGCCGUAAACGAUGAGUGCUAGGUGUUGGAUCCUUUCCGGGAUUCAGUGCCGCAGCUAACGCAUUAAGCACUCCGCCUGGGGAGUACGACCGCAAGGUCGAAACUCAAAGGAAUUGACGGGGGCCCGCACAAGCGGUGGAGCAUGUGGUUUAAUUCGAAGCAACGCGAAGAACCUUACCAGGUCUUGACAUCCCGAUGCUAUUUCUAGAGAUAGAAAGUUACUUCGGUACAUCGGUGACAGGUGGUGCAUGGUUGUCGUCAGCUCGUGUCGUGAGAUGUUGGGUUAAGUCCCGCAACGAGCGCAACCCCUAUUGUUAGUUGCCAUCAUUCAGUUGGGCACUCUAGCGAGACUGCCGGUAAUAAACCGGAGGAAGGUGGGGAUGACGUCAAAUCAUCAUGCCCCUUAUGACCUGGGCUACACACGUGCUACAAUGGUUGGUACAACGAGUUGCGAGUCGGUGACGGCAAGCUAAUCUCUUAAAGCCAAUCUCAGUUCGGAUUGUAGGCUGCAACUCGCCUACAUGAAGUCGGAAUCGCUAGUAAUCGCGGAUCAGCACGCCGCGGUGAAUACGUUCCCGGGCCU